GACGAACGCUGGCGGCGUGCUUAACACAUGCAAGUCGAACGGAAAGGCCCUGCUUUUGUGGGGUGCUCGAGUGGCGAACGGGUGAGUAACACGUGAGUAACCUGCCCUUGACUUUGGGAUAACUUCAGGAAACUGGGGCUCAUACCGGAUAGGAGCUCCUGCUGCAUGGUGGGGGUUGGAAAGAUUCGGCGGUUGGGGAUGGACUCGCGGCUUAUCAGCUUGUUGGUGGGGUAGUGGCUUACAAAGGCUUUGACGGGUAGCCGGCCUGAGAGGGUGACCGGCCACAUUGGGACUGAGAUACGGCCCAGACUCCUACGGGAGGCAGCAGUGGGGAAUAUUGCACAAUGGGCGGAAGCCUGAUGCAGCAACGCCGCGUGCGGGAUGACGGCCUUCGGGUUGUAAACCGCUUUCGCCUGUGACGAAGCGUGAGUGACGGUAAUGGGUAAAGAAGCACCGGCUAACUACGUG
RNAcentral lists this ribosomal RNA (468 nucleotides) under uncultured bacterium. RNAcentral describes it as "partial 16S ribosomal RNA". It matches the Rfam family "Bacterial small subunit ribosomal RNA", at positions 28 to 507 of the family's 1533-position model. The record is from RNAcentral.